This 447-nucleotide ribosomal RNA is filed under the name uncultured bacterium. Its description in RNAcentral is "bacterial SSU rRNA". It matches the Rfam family "Bacterial small subunit ribosomal RNA", at positions 355 to 825 of the family's 1533-position model. The record is from RNAcentral.
UGGGGAAUAUUGGACAAUGGGCGCAAGCCUGAUCCAGCUAUGCCGCGUGGAUGAAGAAGGCCCUAGGGUUGUAAAGUCCUUUCGUUGGUGAAGAUAAUGACGGUAACCAAAGAAGAAGCCCCGGCUAAUUUCGUGCCAGCAGCCGCGGUAAUACGAAAGGGGCUAGCGUUGUUCGGAAUUACUGGGCGUAAAGGGCUCGUAGGCGGCCAACUAAGUCAGACGUGAAAUCCCUCGGCUUAACCGGGGAACUGCGUCUGAUACUGGAUGGCUUGAGGUUGGGAGAGGGAUGCGGAAUUCCAGGUGUAGCGGUGAAAUGCGUAGAUAUCUGGAGGAACACCGGUGGCGAAGGCGACAUCCUGGACCAAUUCUGACGCUGAGGAGCGAAAGCCAGGGGAGCAAACGGGAUUAGAUACCCUCGUAGUCCCUGAGCGGGCUGGCAAGGCGCAU